ACGAACGCUUGCGGCGUGCCUAAGAAAUGCAAGUCGAACGGGGACUUCGGUCCUAGUGGCGAACGGUCGCGUAACACGUAAGCAACCUGCCCUGAAGUGGGGGACAACAUCCCGAAAGGGGUGCUAAUACCGCAUGUGGUCACGAGUCGGCAUCGACUUGUGUCUAAAGAUUUAUCGCUUCAGGAUGGGCUUGCGGCCUAUCAGGUAGUUGGUGGGGUAAUGGCCUACCAAGCCGACGACGGGUAGCUGGUCUGAGAGGACGAUCAGCCGGAUUGGGACUGAGAUACGGCCCAGACUCCUACGGGGGGCAGCA
This 313-nucleotide ribosomal RNA is filed under the name uncultured bacterium. RNAcentral's name for it is "bacterial SSU rRNA". It matches the Rfam family "Bacterial small subunit ribosomal RNA", at positions 29 to 353 of the family's 1533-position model. The record is from RNAcentral.